RNAcentral lists this microRNA (22 nucleotides) under Strongyloides ratti. RNAcentral describes it as "str-miR-7880x-3p". Lineage: Eukaryota; Metazoa; Nematoda; Chromadorea; Rhabditida; Strongyloididae. The record is from miRBase by way of RNAcentral.
UUUGCUGAUCGAUCCAACCAUG